RNAcentral lists this ribosomal RNA (2404 nucleotides) under human gut metagenome. Its description in RNAcentral is "bacterial LSU rRNA". It matches the Rfam family "Bacterial large subunit ribosomal RNA", at positions 23 to 2447 of the family's 2925-position model. The record is from RNAcentral.
GGAGGAUGCCUUGGUACAUGGCGCCGAAGAAGGACGUGACAAGCUGCGAAAAGCCGCGGUGAGCUGCAAAUGAGCGAUUGUAGCCGCGGAUAUCCGAAUGAGGGAACUCACCGUAAGUAAUGUUACGGUAUUGCAUGAUGAAUCAAUAGUCAUGCAAGGGGAACCCGGGGAACUGAAACAUCUAAUUACCCGGAGGAAAAGAAAGAAAAAUCGAUUCCGAAAGUAGUGGCGAGCGAAAUCGGAAGAGCCCAAACUUAAUAUAGAAAUAUAUUAAGGGUUUAGGUACGGCAAAAAGCAGACAGAAGUUAGCGGAACGGUUUGGAAAGACCGAUCGAAGAGGGUAACAAUCCCGUACGCGAAAACAGACGAAAGCGAGCCGCAACCGGAGUACGUCGGGACACGAGGAAUCCUGACGGAAGAAAGGAGGACCAUCUCCGAAGGCUAAAUACGACCAUGUGACCGAUAGAGUAUAGUACCGUGAGGGAAAGGUGAAAAGCACCCCGGGAGGGGAGUGAAAGAGAACCUGAAACCCUAUGCUUACAAGCAGACACAGCAACCGCAAGGAAGUGGUGUCGUACUUUUUGUAGAACGGGCCGGCGAGUUACGAUGUUAUGCGAGAUUAAGCGGUAAAGCCGCGAAGUCGAAGCGAAAGCGAGUCUGAACAGGGCGAAGUAAAGUAUAAUGUCGUAGACCCGAAACCGGAUGACCUAACCAUGAACAGGUUGAAGCAGCGGUAAAACGCUGUGGAGGACCGAACACACGCCUGUUGAAAUAGUCGGUGAUGAUUUGUGGUUAGCGGAGAAAUUCCAAUCGAAUCCGGAUAUAGCUGGUUCUCCUCGAAAUAGCUUUAGGGCUAGCCUGUCGCAAGAAUACCGAAGGUAGAGCACUGUAUGGUCUAGGGGGUUUCACGACCUACCGAAACUUAACAAACUUCGAAUGACGGAUAUUUGAUGCGAUGGAGUCAGACGGCGACAGAUAAGUGCCGUCGUCAAAAGGGAAACAGCCCAGAUCCACAGCUAAGGUCCCAAAGUACAGGUUAAGUGGUAAACGAUGUGUCAUUGCAUAAACAACCAGGAUGUUGGCUUAGAAGCAGCCACACAUUCAAAGAGUGCGUAAUAGCUCACUGGUCGAGUGAUGAUGCGCGGAAGAUUACCGGGGCUAAAACCUGACACCGAAGCUUGGGGAUAUGAGAAAUCAUAUCGGUAGAGGAGCAAUGUAUAGAGGUUGAAGUUAGAUCGAAAGAUUUAAUGGACGAAAUACAAGAGAGAAUGCCGGCAUAAGUAGCGAGAGAGAGGCGAGAAACCUCUCCGUCGAGAGUCUGAGGUUUCCUGGGGAAGGUUCGUCCGCCCAGGGUUAGUCGGGGCCUAAGUCGAGGUCGAAAGGCGUAGAUGAUGGACAACCGGUGCAAAUUCCGGUACUACCGAAAUUCGUUUAAAUGAAGCAGUGACACAGUAAGAUAGUCAGACCGAGCGGAUGGAAAAGCUCGGCCAAGGCGAGACGAGGGCAUAGAGUGAAGUACCUAUGUAGAAAUCGGAGCGCUGAUGGGGAUGUGAAGAAAAGUAAAUAAGCUGACGAAUCUACACUGGCGAGAAAAGCUGCUAAAUAAGGAUUAAGGUACCCGUACCGCAAACCGACACAGGUAGACGCGAAGAAAAUUCAAAGACGAACGGGAGAACUCUUGUUAAGGAACUCGGCAAAAUGACCCCGUAACUUCGGGAGAAGGGGAGCCACAGCGAUGUGGUCGCAGUGAAGAGGUCCAAGCAACUGUUUAUCAAAAACACAGGUCUCUGCGAAAUCGAAAGAUGACGUAUAGGGGCUGACGCCUGCCCAGUGCCGGAAGGUUAAGGGGAGAUGUGCAAGCAUUGAACUUAAGCCCCGGUGAACGGCGGCCGUAACUAUAACGGUCCUAAGGUAGCGAAAUUCCUUGUCGGGUAAGUUCCGACCCGCACGAAAGGCGUAAUGAUUUGGACGCUGUCUCAACAGGGGGCCCGGCGAAAUUGUAGUAUACGUGAAGAUGCGUAUUAACCCGCGACUGGACGGAAAGACCCCGUAGAGCUUUACUGUAACUUGAUAUUGGAACACGACAACGAAUGCACAGGAUAGGUGGGAGACGAAGAGAUAAGAGCUUUGGCUUUUAUGGAGUCGCUGUUGGGAUACCACCCUUUCAUUGUUGGGUUUCUAACGGACAGCCGUGAACCGGUGUACGGACAGUGUCAGGUGGGCAGUUUGACUGGGGCGGUCGCCUCCUAAAGAGUAACGGAGGCGCCCAAAGGUUCCCUCAGGAUGGUUGGAAAUCAUCCAUAGAGUGCAAAGGCAGAAGGGAGCUUAACUGUGAGACAGGCAUGUCGAACAGAUGCGAAAGCAGGGCUUAGUGAUCCGGCGGUAGAGAAUGGAAUUGCCGUCG